RNAcentral lists this ribosomal RNA (484 nucleotides) under uncultured bacterium. RNAcentral describes it as "partial 16S ribosomal RNA". It matches the Rfam family "Bacterial small subunit ribosomal RNA", at positions 30 to 507 of the family's 1533-position model. The record is from RNAcentral.
AUUGAACGCUGGCGGCAGGCCUAACACAUGCAAGUCGAGCGGAUGAAGGGAGCUUGCUCCUGGAUUCAGCGGCGGACGGGUGAGUAAUGCCUAGGAAUCUGCCUGGUCGUGGGGGAUAACGUCCGGAAACGGGCGCUAAUACCGCAUACGCCCUGUGGGAGAAAGUGGGGGAUCUUCGGACCGCAUGCAAUCAGAUGAGCCUAGGUCGGAUUAGCUAGUUGGUGGGGUAAAGGCCUACCAAGGCGACGAUCCGUAACUGGUCUGAGAGGAUGAUCAGUCACCCUGGAACUGAGACACGGUCCAGACUCCUACGGUACGCAACGGAGGAGUAUAUUAGACUAUGGGCGAGAGCCUGAUCCAGCCCUGCCAAGUGUGUUGAGAAGGUCUUCGGAUAGUAAAGCACUUUAAGUUGUGAGGAAGGGCAGUAAGUUAAAACCUUGCUGUUUUGACGUUACCAACAGAAUAAGCACCGGCUAACUUCGUG